RNAcentral lists this RNase P RNA (329 nucleotides) under pig gut metagenome. RNAcentral's name for it is "Bacterial RNase P class B". It matches the Rfam family "Bacterial RNase P class B". Rfam says of the family: Ribonuclease P (RNase P) is a ubiquitous endoribonuclease, found in archaea, bacteria and eukarya as well as chloroplasts and mitochondria. Its best characterised activity is the generation of mature 5'-ends of tRNAs by cleaving the 5'-leader elements of precursor-tRNAs. Cellular RNase Ps are ribonucleoproteins. The record is from RNAcentral.
CUGGAUAAUUGCUGAUAGAUUUCUAUUAGAGGAAAGUCCAUGCUCGCACUAUCUGUGAUGAUAGUAGUGUUUAUGCUAAAGGAAAAAAUAACUUUAGGUAGAUGGGAGCAUCUAAUGGCAGGAAGAAACCUAAGUCGAAAGAUAUGGUCUAUUCCUUGAAAGUGCCACAGUGACGUAGUUUGCCUGAAAGGGUAAAGUGGAACGCGGUAAACCCCAUAAGCGAGAAACCCAAAUUUGGUAGGGGAAGUUGGAGUGGAGAAACGAAUCUAACUCUAGCAUACUUCGGUAUAGAUAAAUAAUUAUCUUAAAUGACAAAACAUGGCUUACAG